RNAcentral lists this ribosomal RNA (484 nucleotides) under uncultured bacterium. RNAcentral describes it as "partial 16S ribosomal RNA". It matches the Rfam family "Bacterial small subunit ribosomal RNA", at positions 28 to 523 of the family's 1533-position model. The record is from RNAcentral.
GACGAACGCUGGCGGCGUGCUUAACACAUGCAAGUCGAACGAUGAAACCGGACCUUGCUCCGGUGGAUUAGUGGCGAACGGGUGAGUAACACGUGAGUAACCUGCCCUUGACUCUGGGAGAACUGCGGGAAACUGUAGCUAAUACCGGAUACGACCCUCGGCGGCAUCCCCUGGGGGUGGAAAGAAUUUCGGUCAAGGAUGGACUCGCGGCCUAUCAGCGAGUUGGUGAGGUAACGGCUCACCAAGGCGACGCCGGGUAGCCGGCCUGAGAGGGUGACCGGCCACACUGGGACUGAGACACGGCCCAGACUCCUACGGGAGGCAGCAGUGGGGAAUAUUGCACAAUGGGCGCAAGCCUGAUGCAGCAACGCCGCGUGAGGGAUGACGGCCUUCGGGUUGUAAACCUCUUUUAGCAGGGAAGAAGCGAAAGUGACGGUACCUGCAGAAAAAGCACCGGCUAACUACGUGCCAGCCGCCGCCGUAA